GAUGAACGCUGGCGGCGUGCCUAAUACAUGCAAGUCGAGCGAACGGACUAGAAGCUUGCUUCUCUGAUGUUAGCGGCGGACGGGUGAGUAACACGUGGAUAACCUACCUAUAAGACUGGGAUAACUUCGGGAAACCGGAGCUAAUACCGGAUGAUAUUUUGAACCGCAUGGUUCAAAAGUGAAAGACGGUCUUGCUGUCACUUAUAGAUGGAUCCGCGCUGCAUUAGCUAGUUGGUAAGGUAACGGCUUACCAAGGCAACGAUGCAUAGCCGACCUGAGAGGGUGAUCGGCCACACUGGAACUGAGACACGGUCCAGACUCCUACGGGAGGCAGCAGUAGGGAAUCUUCCGCAAUGGGCGAAAGCCUGACGGAGCAACGCCGCGUGAGUGAUGAAGGUCUUCGGAUCGUAAAACUCUGUUAUUAGGGAAGAACAUAUGUGUAAGUAACUGUGCACAUCUUGACGGUACCUAAUCAGAAAGCCACGGCUAACUACGUG
This 497-nucleotide ribosomal RNA is filed under the name uncultured bacterium. Its description in RNAcentral is "partial 16S ribosomal RNA". It matches the Rfam family "Bacterial small subunit ribosomal RNA", at positions 28 to 507 of the family's 1533-position model. The record is from RNAcentral.